Mus musculus (house mouse) is the source of this 743-nucleotide long non-coding RNA. RefSeq annotates it as predicted gene, 39759. The transcript has 3 exons. Lineage: Eukaryota; Metazoa; Chordata; Mammalia; Rodentia; Muridae. The record is from RefSeq and is a predicted model, not a curated record.
AUUAACGAUCACUAACACCGGUACUGUUACCAGCUAUAUACAAACCCUCUUCCCAUAACAAAUUUUUUCUUACGGUAAUACUGGCAUCAAAAUAUUUUGAGAGAGAGAGAGAGAGAGAGAGAGAGAGAGAGAGAACGAACAAUUACUUGUUUUGUGUUGAAUGACUCUGCCUGAGAGUUCCCCUCCAGCAGGCAAGUUCCUGAGAUGAAAUGCAUGAGUUCUUAUGGAGACAUCACCAUCUCUCGGGGCUUCUGGGAAUAGAAACCCUGACUAAGACAAUUCCCCAAGCUGAAACUUAAAAGAGACAGCACCUGCUUCACCAACUACUCUUUGCUUUCCUUGCCUGAUCAGCAAAAUGGCUCAGCAGGGAAAGCACUUGCCACGAAACUUGACAACUAGAAUUUGAUCCCUGGGAUCCACGUGGCAGAAGGAGAGAAACAAUUCCCACACGUUGCCCUUUGACCCGCUUCUUCCAAGCAAUGUGGAGACAGCUGGAGAGAAAACUGGCUCCAUCCAACUUCACAGUUCUGUAAAGAGUCAGAGUCUACAGAGGUGACCGUCCACAAAGGCAGUGCUCCCAGAUGCAGACACUGAUUCAGCCUCACAGCUCACAGUUCAUUGUGAAGGGGAGUCGGGGGCAAGAAGAGCUCAAGGCAGGAAGUGAUGGAGAGGCCAUGAAGAAGUAUGGCUUCUUGGCUUGCUCCCCAUGAAUCCAUCAGCCUUCUCCUCCCCCUCCCCAUCCU